GUGGGGAAUAUUGGACAAUGGGCGAAAGCCUGAUCCAGCCAUGCCGCGUGUGUGAAGAAGGUCUUCGGAUUGUAAAGCACUUUAAGUUGGGAGGAAGGGCAGUAAAUUAAUACCUUGCUGUUUUGACGUUACCGACAGAAUAAGCACCGGCUAACUUCGUGCCAGCAGCCGCGGUAAUACGAAGGGUGCAAGCGUUAAUCGGAAUUACUGGGCGUAAAGCGCGCGUAGGUGGUUUUGUAAGUUGGAGGUGAAAUCCCCGGGCUCAACCUGGGAACUGCCUCCAAAACUGCAUGACUAGAGUACGGUAGAGGGUAGUGGAAUUUCCUGUGUAGCGGUGAAAUGCGUAGAUAUAGGAAGGAACACCAGUGGCGAAGGCGACUACCUGGACUGAUACUGACACUGAGGUGCGAAAGCGUGGGGAGCAAACAGGAUUAGAUACCCGAGUAGUCC
RNAcentral lists this ribosomal RNA (450 nucleotides) under uncultured bacterium. RNAcentral's name for it is "partial 16S ribosomal RNA". It matches the Rfam family "Bacterial small subunit ribosomal RNA", at positions 354 to 796 of the family's 1533-position model. The record is from RNAcentral.